Molecule: transfer RNA, 75 nt
Filed under: Rhizophagus clarus
Lineage: Eukaryota; Fungi; Glomeromycota; Glomeromycetes; Glomerales; Glomeraceae
Description: tRNA-Ser
Rfam family: tRNA
About the family: Transfer RNA (tRNA) molecules are approximately 80 nucleotides in length. Their secondary structure includes four short double-helical elements and three loops (D, anti-codon, and T loops).
Source: RNAcentral
CCCGGUUAGUUCAGUUGGUUAGAACGCCACACCAGAUUAACCGUGGAAACGCGGGUUCGAUUCCUGCACUGGGCU